GCCAUUCCGCCAUUGUCUCCGACACGCGACACUUGUCAGUUGUCACACUAUGCCUUGAAACUGCAGUCUACUAGGCUCUAGGCUGUAGCAAUGGAAUAGUGAAAUUUUUUUGUUCUGUUAAUAUUUUUGUCGAAAUGUCGAGUUGAAACUUGAAACCUAUGAAUGUUGGCUGCUUCACUAGAAUGUAUGGGUCCUAGACUAGAUUGAUCUAUUUCAACAUGUGCAGGUUGUUUUCCUGAUUGACCUGAUCACAUCAGCUGUUUACAUUUUGUUUCUCUUCCGUUCACCACCAACAUAUUCAGCUGAAAGUUUGAUUAUCAUUCUGCGUUCAACUGGACUGAUGAUUUUGAGGAUACUUGAUUCUAUUAUAAUUGUUAAAAAUAGAAUUCUACUGUUGCGGCCCGGAGUUGCUGCAACGUGUGUACAGCUGGUGGUAACUGGUUGAUCCUUCUCGACGUUGCGCGUUCGUGAUCACCAGAAUAUGUAAAGGGCGAAGAAGGGAUGGAAAUUAUGGAUUGUUAGUUGA
Long non-coding RNA from Daphnia pulex (common water flea), 526 nucleotides. RefSeq lists it as uncharacterized. The record is from RefSeq and is a predicted model, not a curated record. The transcript is spliced from 5 exons. Lineage: Eukaryota; Metazoa; Arthropoda; Branchiopoda; Diplostraca; Daphniidae.